CUUUCCUCGAAAAAUAUCUCAAACAGUCGUCAAAACAAAAGAAUCUAAGUGAUGAAGAAAAUCUAACCAAUGUGUUCAAACCUUCGUCUUAACCUUCCGGGAUUGUACUCUCCAUCUCAGGUUUAGAACAAGUCUGCCCUUUCACGUGCUUCAGCAAGGCCUUUUUUGGCUCUUCAAACCGCUGCUCUUUCUGCACGCUCGCGGACAUCAGAAGCCUUCCUAACAGCAGCACUCUGAACUUUCGCAUGAGCUUCAGCGGCUGCUCUUUCACGUGCUUCCCUUCUAGCCCAUUUUACUGCUUCUCUUGCCAACACUCUUUCACGUGCUUCCAUUCUAGCCCAGUUUAGGAAUGUUUAUAUUACAUGAAGAUUCAGAAUAUAUAGUUCAGGAAUCUUUAUAUUUAUCUCUAAUGUAUUAUUUACAUUUAUAUAUACCUUAAAAUAGGAAACUAAAUCUCUAUAUAAGAGAAUGCAUUGUAUCAUUGCAAUCAUGAGAUUCUAAUACAAUCUUCCUCUAACACAUUAUGUGUCCGAGAUCUGUGAAUGGGAUCUUCUCAACGGCGGACCUACUAAGGAAGAAGGUCACCUGACCUAGGCGUUGUUUUGAAGAAUGCAAGAAUUGUUAAGAAGGGGACAAGUAAAGCGAAUGUAGCAAGCGGGAGUGUGGUCGAGACACUUGUUAUUUUGUCUUCCAAUAUUGUUCAAAUUAUUGCACAAGGAGUCUCGCUUCCAUAAAAUGUUACAACUAGCAAUAAUGAGGCUGAAAAUGUCAGAUCAGCCACAUAUACUUUACCUUGUCGGCCUCCUUUAUGUGAAAUAAACAGCUUCACAAAAUUCUACCUUGAAGGAAAUGUCUAUGAUCAUCUGAGAUUGAUAUGCAAAGCUCAAGUUCUAAGCUGUGAGUUCAAUUUCCCCGGAGUUGUUUUUAUCUUUGUUAUAGCUGUGGUAUAUACUCAUGACAUUUGAAAUUUUAUUUUGCUGUUAAAAUUGCAAUUACCGGUUCAACCGUUCAAACCAUGAAUUUGUCCAGCUUCCUGACGCUUGUUGCCUCUGUGGUGCUUGUUGUUCCCAUUGUGUUGGUGGCGGUAUUGGUGUUGGCGUCCUACGUACUUGCCUUUGUGGUGAUGGCAUAUGUGAUCUUUAAGAGGGUUGUGAACCUCGUAAUAAUAAUAAUAAUUAAAAUUACUCCAAAUUAAG
Molecule: long non-coding RNA, 1196 nt
Organism: Camelina sativa (false flax)
Lineage: Eukaryota; Viridiplantae; Streptophyta; Magnoliopsida; Brassicales; Brassicaceae
Source: RefSeq, a predicted model, not a curated record